AUGAGUCGACCUGAUGGGAUCAACAUCCCCAACGACAAGUUCUACCUUGGAGAUGCUGGCUAUGCAUGUCGGCCGGGUAUUCUUCCACCCUCCAGGAAAACAAGGUACCAUCUCAAUGAGUUCUCUGGUAGGAACUUUCCUAGGACUGCACAGGAGCUGUUUAAUCUCAGACACUCCAGCCUUAGAGUAACUGUUGAGAGGGCAUUUGGAGCUCUGAAGAAUAGGUUUAAGAUCCUAGAUCAGAAGCCAUUCCACCCAUACUCCACUCAAGUUAAGCUAGUUCUUGCUUGUUGCAUUAUGCAUAACUGGAUCCUCCACUGGGGCUUUGAUGAACACGUGCCUGAGGAGGAAGAGGUCGAGCCUGACGAUGUUGUUAGCUCUGGCCAUGGUGUGGAGGCAUUUGACAAUGACGCUUGGAAGAACAAAAUGUUGGAGUGGGCAGAGACAAUGUGGCUUAACAGAGGUCAGUGCAGGAUUUGA
Molecule: ribosomal RNA, 480 nt
Filed under: Triticum aestivum (bread wheat)
Lineage: Eukaryota; Viridiplantae; Streptophyta; Magnoliopsida; Poales; Poaceae
Description: partial small subunit ribosomal RNA
Source: RNAcentral